This 433-nucleotide ribosomal RNA is filed under the name uncultured bacterium. RNAcentral's name for it is "partial 16S ribosomal RNA". It matches the Rfam family "Bacterial small subunit ribosomal RNA", at positions 29 to 507 of the family's 1533-position model. The record is from RNAcentral.
AACGGACGCUGGCGGCAUGCCUAACACAUGCCAGUCGAACGAGACCUUCGGGUCUAGUGGCGCACGGGUGCGUAACGCGUGGGAACCUGCCCUUAGGUUCGGAAUAACUCCCCGAAAGGGGUGCUAAUACCGGAUAAUGUCUUCGGACCAAAGAUUUAUCGCCUUUGGAUGGGCCCGCGUUGGAUUAGCUAGUUGGUAGGGUAAAAGCCUACCAAGGCGACGAUCCAUAGCUGGUCUGAGAGGAUGAUCAGCCACACUGGGACUGAGACACGGCCCAGACUCCUACGGGAGGCAGCAGUGGGGAAUAUUGGACAAUGGGCGAAAGCCUGAUCCAGCAAUGCCGCGUGAGUGAUGAAGGCCUUAGGGUUGUAAAGCUCUUUUACCCGGGAUGAUAAUGACAGUACCGGGAGAAUAAGCUCCGGCUAACUCCGUG